GCCUCAUCCUCCCAAGCUGCUGGGUUUACAGGUAUGCACCACCAUCUCCUGAAGGAUGAGGAACUUUAAAUACUUUUCCAAGACAGUUUAGGAUCACUUGGUCUCAGGCCCAAAGGAGGACUGCCUGUCACCUCCAAGCCACUGUCCCACUCACUUUUGGUUAAAAUUCAAAAGUUUUGAUGGACCUUUGUUUUGUUCAUUUAUUUAUAUGCAGUGCUGAGAAUCAAACCCAAUACCUCACACAUGCUAGGCAAGUGCUCCACCACUGAGCCACAAAGCCAGUCCCAAAUUCAAAAGUUUUAUUUAAACUGCAAUCAACUAACCAGUCAAUCAAACAGCUUACAGCCUGGUCCUGGACCCCUUUCUCUCUUCACUCCCACCUGUCACCAGAUCAUUAUGCACACUUUACCUGCCAUCUACUCACUGAUGACUCUCCUGUCCUCUUCUCCCCACUGCUGCACUGAAAAUGUGCUCCUCCAAAGGCCUCCCUCUUACUAACUCCUGGAUACUCCUAAGAUACUGACUCCAUCUUACUACAUCCUCAAAGCCUCUGUCCUUGCUUCUCAUUCUCAUUCUGAAACCCUCUUUCUUUGGCCUCUAUUAGUCUGUUUUCUAUUUUCAGACUGUUUUAACAGUUUAUUUUGGCUUCCAGUUCUGGAGAUGCAGGAUUGAGGCAUUACAUCUGGUGAUGGCUUUCUUGCUAGCAGAGUCCCGAGGUGGUGCAGGGCUUCACAUGUGCUGGGGAUCAAACCCAGGGCCGUGUAUCUUCUAAUGUUAUCAUCUGCUCAAUCAUCUGACUCUCCUAUUGUCAGCUUUCCAGGAACAAGGACUGAUCAUUCAUCUUUGUUCCUGAGAACCUCGCUAAUGCCUCACAUAAGUUUUCUGGACUACAAGUUUUCUACUUUUCUUCCCAAUUCUGCAUCUAUUUCAUAGUUGCUUCCAGGUAAAACUCAGCCCAGGGCAGACAUGAAGUGACAGGAAGGGGCCAGGCUCCCUGGUGAAUGUGCACUGGUCACCCCCAGGCAUGGCCUUCAGCCUGUGGCUCUCACCUGUCUGUGCUGGUGAUAUGAUGCUUGGCCUACUGGAUAAUAUGAUCAAUCUUUUGGAUAAUAUGAUCGAUCUAGUUUGGCCCUCAGCUCUCAGCAUCUCUCAGGUUUGGCCUUGAGAUUCAGCUUGACUCAGUUCUGCCUUUGCAGCGAUGGGUCAGACCAUCUGGUGUCCCUCCAAGCAGAAGAGAAGGGGACAAAAGCAAACACAAGGACUGACACCUCAAUGACAGCUGCCUCAGACCUUUUUGAGAAAUCAAGUGUAAAUGCACAAAUCAAUAAAAAAGAAAACAUUUUGUCUGUCAAAUGCCAUUAACCCUUUCACCAGUGAUGAAUUGGGAAACAGGAAAUCACACAUUUGUGAGCUUUCUCCUACUAUAACAAAACAUCUGAGAUAAAUUAACUUUUAAGGAGGAAAGUUUUAUUGUGGCUCACAGUUUCAGAAGUUCCAAUUCAUGGUCACUUGGCCCCAUUGCCUUUGGGCUUGUAGUGAGGCAGAACAUUGUGGUGGGGACAAUGUGGCGGCUAAAGCUGCUGGCUUCAUGGUGGCCAGGAAACAGAGAUAAGAAGAAGAAAGCUGGGUUCUCCAAAUCCCCUUCACUGGACACACCCCCAGUGACCCAACUUCGUCUAGUAAGUCCCAGUUCCUAAAAUUUCCACAACCUCCUAAUACCACCAAAGGCUAUGAAUCAAGACUUUGACACAUGAGCUUUUGGGAGACAUUUAAGAUCCAAACUACAGCACCUGGAUUCUGAUCCCCACUGGCUUCUGGCUUUGGAAGGACCUUGAGUAGGCCACUGAGAUCCCUGACUAUCAAGUGGGAAAAUGGGCUGAAAAGAAAGCAAGUCUAGGGGUAGGAAUUCUGAAGGAGUAGAAUGUUAGAUGCUGUAAACAUUAAAACUGUGUGUUUUUCAGGCUGGGGUUGGGGCUCAGUGGUAGAGCACUUGCUUAGCUUUGCAUGAGGCACUGGGUUCGAUUCUCAGGACCACAUACAAAUAUAUGAAUAAAAUAAAAGUCCACUGAUUUUUUUUUAAAACUGUCUGUUUUUCCACUGUAGAACUGUUUGUGAUACAAAAUAUUGACCAAAACUUAAUGUGUGCAUACAACCACUGAAGGAGCAAAUUGAAAGAUAUAUUGUUAAGUGGGAAAAAAACAAAAUGUAAAACAUAUGUAUAUGUCUUAUAUAUGUACAGCCUAUAUUUCUGGAAAGAAAUAUAAGAAACCAGAAAACUGUGUGAAGGGAAUUGGAUAUCUGUGGGUCUGGUGAGAGGGAAAAUUUUG
Ictidomys tridecemlineatus (thirteen-lined ground squirrel) is the source of this 2327-nucleotide non-coding RNA. The record is from RefSeq and is a predicted model, not a curated record. NCBI's taxonomy places the organism in Eukaryota, Metazoa, Chordata, Mammalia, Rodentia, Sciuridae.